ACUAGAUUAGCUUAAAGGUAGAGCAUCCAGCUGAUAACUGGACGACAUAGGGUCAGUACCUAUAUCUAGUACCA
Molecule: transfer RNA, 74 nt
Filed under: compost metagenome
Description: tRNA-Ile
Rfam family: tRNA
About the family: Transfer RNA (tRNA) molecules are approximately 80 nucleotides in length. Their secondary structure includes four short double-helical elements and three loops (D, anti-codon, and T loops). Further hydrogen bonds mediate the characteristic L-shaped molecular structure. tRNAs have two regions of fundamental functional importance: the anti-codon, which is responsible for specific mRNA codon recognition, and the 3' end, to which the tRNAs corresponding amino acid is attached (by aminoacyl-tRNA synthetases). tRNAs cope with the degeneracy of the genetic code in two manners: having more than one tRNA (with a specific anti-codon) for a particular amino acid; and 'wobble' base-pairing, i.e. permitting non-standard base-pairing at the 3rd anti-codon position.
Source: RNAcentral